GCGCCCGUAGCUCAGUUGGAUAGAGCGUUGGUCUACGAAACCAAAGGUCGCACGUUCGAGCCGUGCCGGGCGCA
RNAcentral lists this transfer RNA (74 nucleotides) under Acidobacteriota bacterium. RNAcentral describes it as "tRNA-Arg". It matches the Rfam family "tRNA". Rfam says of the family: Transfer RNA (tRNA) molecules are approximately 80 nucleotides in length. Their secondary structure includes four short double-helical elements and three loops (D, anti-codon, and T loops). The record is from RNAcentral. RNAcentral also lists the same sequence under 2 other names. Lineage: Bacteria; Pseudomonadati; Acidobacteriota.